This 423-nucleotide ribosomal RNA is filed under the name uncultured prokaryote. RNAcentral's name for it is "bacterial SSU rRNA". It matches the Rfam family "Bacterial small subunit ribosomal RNA", at positions 355 to 796 of the family's 1533-position model. The record is from RNAcentral.
UGGGGAAUCUUGGACAAUGGGGGCAACCCUGAUCCAGCGACGCCGCGUGGGUGGUAAGGCCUUCGGGUUGUAAGGCCCUUUCAGCGGGGAAGAUGAUGACAUUACCCGCAGAAGAAGCGCCGGCUAACUCCGUGCCAGCAGCCGCGGUAAUACGGAGGAUGCAAGCGUUAUCCGGAAUAAUUGGGCGUAAAGCGUUCGUAGGUGGUUUUGUAAGUCUGCUGUUAAAGCGUGUAGCUCAACUACAUAUAGGCAGUGGAAACUACAAAACUUGAGUGCGUUCGGGGCAGAGGGAAUUCCUAGUGUAGCGGUGAAAUGCGUAGAGAUUAGGAAGAACACCGGUGGCGAAAGCGCUCUGCUAGGCCGCAACUGACACUGAGGGACGAAAGCUAGGGGAGCGAAUGGGAUUAGAUACCCCGGUAGUCC